Long non-coding RNA from Spinacia oleracea (spinach), 2517 nucleotides. RefSeq lists it as uncharacterized. The transcript has 6 exons. NCBI's taxonomy places the organism in Eukaryota, Viridiplantae, Streptophyta, Magnoliopsida, Caryophyllales, Amaranthaceae. The record is from RefSeq and is a predicted model, not a curated record.
UCGGGAAUUUAAUCGGAAGCGUAUCGUACGAAUUAGCAUCGGACGAGGCCCGCUAGACGAAGGCCCAGCACGAAGCCAGGCCGUCGCCCAGCGAGCCAACGCGCACCAUCGCACGCCAAGCCUCGACCAGGCCCAGCGCAAGGCCAGGCCCAGCCAAGGCCUUGGGCGCGCGCGCGAGAGCACAGCAGUGGGCCGAGCGCUGUGCGCCUAGCGUGGGCCGCAAGGCUUGCGCGGGUGUACGGUGCUCGUGCAAUGCUUGUGCGGGAAUCCUGAAGCAAUCAGGAUUCGAAGUGUGAUUAAAUCCUAAAACUAUUAGAUAAUGAUUAUUUAAUUAGAGUCCUGGUAAGGUUAUAAUUAAAUAAAUUACUAUCUUAAUAGGAUUCCAAAACCCUUUCCAUAACUCUAUAAAUAGGUGCCUAGGGUCACAUAUUUUCAGAGAUUAUUCAAGUAUUCAAAGUGAGUUUUUGAGAGAAAAUUCAGACACAUUCCUUGACUAAAAGUGCCGAAAAUCUUUAGUACCUUAAGGGCGAUUCUAGUUGGUCAAUCUUAAGGCGGAUCUGGACGUGCUGUGGACUAUCUACGGAGGGACGACACUUGGAGUCCUAAAGACUUGUUCUUGUUCGGUUCGGGCGCAGCUAGGGAAGGCACGCAACAAAGAGUAUGCAUCUAAACUAUGCUAUAUGAUUAUGUGUAAAUAAUAUGUAUUCCUGGCUAAAUGGUUUUUCCGCAUGAUUUAUGAAUUGUCAUAUGUAUCAUAACCUAACAGAAUUUGUAUACCUGCUUUGGCGUGGAUAGCCUAGGCGUUGGUGUAGAACUUGUAUACCUGCUUCGGCGUGGAUAGCCUAGGCGUUGGUGUAGAACUUGAAUUUUGAACCAGAGGUCCCAGGCUGGAUUAGUACUGCUGCUGGGGAUUCUUUUGAAUUUUUGAUUUUGUACCGGCUAGUAUAGGAUAGCCUUUUGAAUUUUGAUUUUUGUAUGGGCUAGUAUAGGAUAGCCCCCAGUUUAGAGUUUUGAAACUUUGUACUCCGCUUGAUUUAGUAUGCCUCGUCAUACUCGGAGGAAGCUCGCCGAAUCUUCGGUGGUUCGAGCUGCUGAGGAGGAUGCUUCGGAUGAUGAAGCGGCUGCGAUAAAUGCGCCGGAUGGGGGUAUGAUUCCCCGGAGAGAAUCCACUUUUAUUGGUACUGGUGGAGUCCUUCCGAUCUGGUGUUUCGACCGGAGUUUCACUUGUCUCAACGGCCUCGCGCUGGCUUGGCUGAUGGAGAGCCGUUUUGCACCUUCUAGUCCUUGGCGGAGCUUUAGAAGGCUUUUGCAGCCAUUCGUGCUGACGAGGAGGCCAUGGAGAUCUGGUUACAGACGGGCCUGGUUGACUUCUGGCGUGCCAUGGGAGGCACUUCGAGGAGAACGGGGAUCGAACCCCGGCUAUGGGCUUUGCUAGAGAGGUGGUGGGAUACCACCAACACUUUCCAUAUGGCAUGGGGGGAGAUCACCAUCACCCCUUUUGAGUUUGCUAUGAUUACGGGUCUUCCUUUUUCUGAGAGGAAUGUGACCUUUGAUUCGGAGCUGACGUGGCUCGACCCUGUUGUUGACUUGUCAGAGGACUACACCCAUGCUUCCGUGACGGUGAUUGUAGAUGCUAUCCGUGGUGCGGGUGUGUCUGCAGAGCAGAGGGUUAGGCUGUUCCUCUUAGCUUUGGUGAGUAGGGUUGUGGCCCCGAGCAGGAACAAUCGGGUGCACAUUAGCUUCUUGUCAGCUUUGCAGGAUUUGAGGGCUGUUUCGAGCUACAACUGGGGUGGUUUGGCCUAUAGCCACCUCUUGUACGAGAUGUAGUGGGCCUCCCGGACUGCGCCGGAGAGCGAGCCGAGCAUGGCUGCUCUGUGGAGUGUGCUGGAGAUUUGGAUAUAUGAGCACUUUCCGACUUUGGCGCCGGAUCGUACUGGAGAUGCGGCUUACCCGUAUGCUGCCUCUUGGAUAGGAGCGGUGCGCAGGAGGGUGGCUCUGGCGGCCUCCCGCAGAGCUUGGAUAGUUCUACCUGCUGAUGAGUUGGUGUGGCGUCCUUUUGCCAACGCGCCUGUACCUGCCUCGACGGCUCGCGCCCACUUCUUGUCUGGACGGCGGGUUUUGCUCCCAGGGGUGUACCGCCAUAUGUGGUAUUUGGGGUAGCGAGUGUCCCUUCAGCACCAUUCGGGGAACAGGUUUGUCCCCAAGGGCCCGUCGGAGUCCAUGCUGGCGCCGGAUGAAGAUCUUGCCCAACUCUAUGUGAACGCUAGGGGCGAUGCUGUUUGCCGCUCUUGGAGGGACUUUGUACAAAGGAAGGGUAGCUAUGACGACUUCCUGAGGAGGCUGGCUCCACCAGUACGCUUCGUACUGCCGAAAUCGGACUCGGAGCUCAGGAAGAACGAACCAACGAAAAGGCUUAGCAAAAUCGUGGAAGUGAGGUACUGCGGGGAACGAUGGAAACGAGUAGUGGCGAGGAUUUUCACUUUUAUAUUAUUCACCUAGUUUAUGCUUAAUGUUUUA